RNAcentral lists this ribosomal RNA (440 nucleotides) under uncultured bacterium. RNAcentral's name for it is "partial 16S ribosomal RNA". It matches the Rfam family "Bacterial small subunit ribosomal RNA", at positions 338 to 795 of the family's 1533-position model. The record is from RNAcentral.
CCUACGGGUGGCAGCAGUGGGGAAUAUUGCACAAUGGGGGAAACCCUGAUGCAGCGACGCCGCGUGAAGGAAGAAGUAUUUCGGUAUGUAAACUUCUAUCAGCAGGGAAGAAAAUGACGGUACCUGACUAAGAAGCCCCGGCGAACUACGUGCCAGCAGCCGCGGGAAUACGUAGGGGGCAAGCGUUAUCCGGAUUUACUGGGGGUAAAGGGAGCGUAGGCGGCGAUGCAAGUCAGAAGUGAAAGGCCGGGGCUCAACUCCGGGACUGCUUUUGAAACUGUAUGGCUAGAUUGCAGGAGAGGCAAGUGGAAGUCGUGGUGUAGCGGUGAAAUGCGUAGAUAUUAGGAGGAACACCAGUGGCGAAGGCGGUUUGCUGGACUGUAAAUGACGCUGAGGCUCGAAAGCGUGGGGAGCAAACAGGAUUAGAUACCCUUGUAGUC